AGUCAAUAGAUACCCCGGUAGUCCACGCCGUAAACGAUGUCGACUUGGAGGUUGUGCCCUUGAGGCGUGGCUUCCGGAGCUAAACGCGUUAAGUCGACCGCCUGGGGAGUACGGCCGCAAGGUUAAAACCCAAAUGAAUUGACGGGGGCCCGCACAAGCGGUGGAGCAUGUGGUUUAAUUCGAUGCAACGCGAAGAACCUUACCUACUCUUGACAUCCAGAGAACUUAGCAGAGAUGCUUUGGUGCCUUCGGGAACUCUGAGACAGGUGCUGCAUGGCUGUCGUCAGCUCGUGUUGUGAAAUGUUGGGUUAAGUCCCGCAACGAGCGCAACCCUUAUCCUUUGUUGCCAGCGGUUAGGCCGGGAACUCAAAGGAGACUGCCAGUGAUAAACCUGGAGGAAGGUGGGGAUGACGUCAAGUCAUCAUGGCCCUUACGAGUAGGGCUACACACGUGCUACAAUGGCGCAUACAAAGAGAAGCGACCUCGCGAGAGCAAGCGGACCUCAUAAAGUGCGUCGUAGUCCGG
RNAcentral lists this ribosomal RNA (525 nucleotides) under uncultured bacterium. RNAcentral's name for it is "bacterial SSU rRNA". It matches the Rfam family "Bacterial small subunit ribosomal RNA", at positions 775 to 1296 of the family's 1533-position model. The record is from RNAcentral.